RNAcentral lists this ribosomal RNA (241 nucleotides) under uncultured Staphylococcus sp. Its description in RNAcentral is "partial 16S ribosomal RNA". It matches the Rfam family "Bacterial small subunit ribosomal RNA", at positions 99 to 334 of the family's 1533-position model. Lineage: Bacteria; Bacillati; Bacillota; Bacilli; Caryophanales; Staphylococcaceae. The record is from RNAcentral.
CGGACGGGUGAGUAACACGUGGAUAACCUACCUAUAAGACUGGGAUAACUUCGGGAAACCGGAGCUAAUACCGGAUAAUAUAUUGAACCGCAUGGUUCAAUAGUGAAAGACGGUUUUGCUGUCACUUAUAGAUGGAUCCGCGCCGCAUUAGCUAGUUGGUAAGGUAACGGCUUACCAAGGCAACGAUGCGUAGCAGACCUGAGAGGGUGAUCGGCCACACUGGAACUGAGACACGGUCCAG